GACGAACGCUGGCGGCGUGCUUAACACAUGCAAGUCGAACGGAAAGGCCCUGCUUUUGUGGGGUGCUCGAGUGGCGAACGGGUGAGUAACACGUGAGUAACCUGCCCUUGACUUUGGGAUAACUUCAGGAAACUGGGGCUAAUACCGGAUAGGAGCUCCUGCUGCAUGGUGGGGGUUGGAAAGUUUCGGCGGUUGGGGAUGGACUCGCGGAUUAUCAGCUUGUUGGUGGGGUAGUGGCUUACCAAGGCUUUGACGGGUAGCCGGCCUGAGAGGGUGACCGGCCACAUUGGGACUGAGAUACGGCCCAGACUCCUACGGGAGGCAGCAGUGGGGAAUAUUGCACAAUGGGCGGAAGCCUGAUGCAGCAACGCCGCGUGCGGGAUGACGGCCUUCGGGUUGUAAACCGCUUUCGCCUGUGACGAAGCGUGAGUGACGGUAAUGGGUAAAGAAGCACCGGCUAACUACGUGCCAGCAGCCGCGGUGAUACGUAGGGUGCGAGCGUUGUCCGGAUUUAUUGGGCGUAAAGGGCUCGUAGGUGGUUGAUCGCGUCGGAAGUGUAAUCUUGGGGCUUAACCCUGAGCGUGCUUUCGAUACGGGUUGACUUGAGGAAGGUAGGGGAGAAUGGAAUUCCUGGUGGAGCGGUGGAAUGCGCAGAUAUCAGGAGGAACACCAGUGGCGAAGGCGGUUCUCUGGGCCUUUCCUGACGCUGAGGAGCGAAAGCGUGGGGAGCGAACAGGCUUAGAUACCCUGGUAGUCCACGCUGUAAACGGUGGGUACUAGGUGUGGGGUCCAUUCCACGGGUUCCGUGCCGUAGCUAACGCUUUAAGUACCCCGCCUGGGGAGUACGGCCGCAAGGCUAAAACUCAAAGGAAUUGACGGGGCCCCGUACAAGCGGCGGAGCAUGCGGAUUAAUUCGAUGCAACGCGUAGAACCUUACCUGGGUUUGACAUGGAUCGGGAGUGCUCAGAGAUGGGUGUGCCUCUUUUGGGGUCGGUUCACAGGUGGUGCAUGGCUGUCGUCAGCUCGUGUCGUGAGAUGUUGGGUUAAGUCCCGCAACGAGCGCAACCCUUGUUCACUGUUGCCAGCACGUUAUGGUGGGGACUCAGUGGAGACCGCCGGGGUCAACUCGGAGGAAGGUGGGGAUGACGUCAAGUCAUCAUGCCCCUUAUGUCCAGGGCUUCACGCAUGCUACAAUGGCUGGUACAGAGAGUGGCGAGCCUGUGAGGGUGAGCGAAUCUCGGAAAGCCGGUCUCAGUUCGGAUUGGGGUCUGCAACUCGACCUCAUGAAGUCGGAGUCGCUAGUAAUCGCAGAUCAGCAACGCUGCGGUGAAUACGUUCCCGGG
This 1343-nucleotide ribosomal RNA is filed under the name uncultured bacterium. RNAcentral describes it as "16S ribosomal RNA". It matches the Rfam family "Bacterial small subunit ribosomal RNA", at positions 28 to 1378 of the family's 1533-position model. The record is from RNAcentral.